AAGUCGAGGGGCAGCAUUUUAGUUUGCUUGCAAACUGAAGAUGGCGACCGGCGCACGGGUGAGUAACACGUAUCCAACCUGCCGACAACACUGGGAUAGCCUUUCGAAAGAAAGAUUAAUACCGGAUGGCAUACGAAUAUCGCAUGGGAUAAUUAUUAAAGAAUUUCGGUUGUCGAUGGGGAUGCGUUCCAUUAGGCAGUUGGCGGGGUAACGGCCCACCAAACCUACGAUGGAUAGGGGUUCUGAGAGGAAGGUCCCCACAUUGGAACUGAGACACGGUCCAAACUCC
Molecule: ribosomal RNA, 289 nt
Filed under: uncultured Bacteroides sp.
Lineage: Bacteria; Pseudomonadati; Bacteroidota; Bacteroidia; Bacteroidales; Bacteroidaceae
Description: partial 16S ribosomal RNA
Rfam family: Bacterial small subunit ribosomal RNA
Source: RNAcentral